UCCACCCCACGAAAACCUAGCCGCCACCGUUCCCUCGCACCUCUCUUCUCGCUCGCUCUCCCCUAGACCACACCGCCGCCGCCUCCUCGCGCCCUCACCCCCCCGUGCCGCCGCCGCCGACCACUUUUCUCACACUUAGCCAAAUCGUCGCACCUUCCCCUUGCCACCGCGGGGCCAGUUCCGGCGGAGGGUAGGCCAUGCCCGCCGGAUUCGGUAGCCACGACCUCCUUGCCGGCGGAUCCGGUCACCCGGAGGCGAGGGUAGGGCUAGCACAGGAGGCUCAUCGACAGUACGGCGGUGAGCUCCAUGGGGAAAUGCUCUGCUCCCCACCCUCAUCUUUCUUCUUUCCAACACUGUGCUGGAUUUGGCAAGAUGAGUAAUACGGUGCUGCACGGAAGCUUGAAGCCGCUCUGGCCGGCGACGGCAUCAAGCAAGAAUAGCAUUGUACGCAGCCAAAAAGGUUCUUGGCAAGUAACUCAAAUUUCUUUUAUCUUUCAGGAUAAAAGUUUAAGAGGUAUAAGAGGUGGUCGACCAUCUACAGUUGCUUUGCCUCUCACACAAGAGCCACCAAUGAAGCUCCACAGCAUAGCGGCAAUUGCAUACCAGUAGAUGCUGCUGGUUUUGUUUGCCAUCAGUCAUCUUGAUUACCUUGGUGCACAUAGAUAUUAUCUGUUUAUUUAAAAAGAAAACUGAAUUUGGAUUCGGUGACUACCAAACAGGUGAAUACUCGACUUGAAUUGUUUAUGUACAAAAAGUAUUUGGCAAUAUGUUCUCCUGUAGUUUAGAUAGGCUAGCAGUAGAUGUUGCUGUUUUGUUUGCCAUCAGACCUCUUGAUUACCUUCAUGCACAUAGAUAUCAUCUGUUUAUUUAAAAGGAAACUGAAUUUGGAUUCAGUAGUACACUGGGAUUUGGUGGCUACUGAACAGUUGAACACUAAUCAUGAAUGUUUAUGCUUGAAAAGUAUUCUAUCCUUCGGAGAUUCUUAUUGUUGGCCAGAGGAUAUAAUUAGAAGACAAUUGCUGAUCCUUUGGAGAUUCUUAUUCUUUGGGAAGGAAGGUAGGGUUGUUCAACCCCAAACAGUUGCUGAUCAGCUAUACUGAUCCCUUUUUCAUGUUGCAAAACUUUUUAUCCUAUGCCUUCUUUUGCUCAAUUGGCCUACAACCAAGGGAUAAAUAGAAAUUACCACAGGAUCUUCUUACAAUGAUGAAAAUUUCAUUUGUAAUAAUCAUUUUACUACCUCAAUAGGGGAAAAAACAUAGGGCGAGCUUUUAUAGGCUGAAUGCGGAACUAAUUCUGUGAGUAGAUGAGGUUAUGUGAUAAUUGAGUGUACUAUUUGAUGCUCUCUGUCUGCAUUUUCUUUUAUGCUUUCCAAUUUUGUGCAGAUAAAUAACUGGCAAGAAAUUGAAAUGCCUCAGGAUGGUACAAAACUAAGAGUAAGAACUUUGGAUGCCAAUACAACACUGUCAGCCUUUGGUCAUGAAAACAUUUGAGAAUCAACUUAGACAUUAUCAGGUAUGUCAUUAUUAGUACCAUCAACAUCCUGAUUAACUCAUCUUAAUUAGCUGGAACUAUAAUACCUAUAUUUUUCUGAAAUAUGCUAUUUCUGUUCUACAGAAGCAAAUUAUUGUUGUAUAGUGUGUGCUUUCAUUUGCUGUAAAUCUUAUAGGAGGGUUUGAAGUAUAUGAUAAACAAAGUGGAACAACUUAUGAAUGUGAUGCCUAAUUGUUGUUGUUUUAACUAGGCAACAAACUCAGCAAAUUCAGAGGCACACUUCAAAUGAUCUGGUAGAAAUCCCCACCUUAAAUCCUUAAUACUGUGCAAACCACAACUAUAUUUAAUCAUCUGUUGCCCUUGUUUUUCUUAUAUCUACACAUGGCAAUGAUGCUUCAUGUUUAUUUUCUGAAAAUGCCAGCACCUAAGAUUUUGAAGCACACAGCUAACAAAGUGGACAUGCUAGGAGUGCAAUAGAACAAAAUGCAGUACACAUGUAUGCUGAUUGCAGUGCUAGGAGUGCAAUAGAUUUUUUUACAUGGGUGUUUUUUUUUUGAAUGAUGGAUGUUAAUUAUUGAGGGAUAUGAAUGAAUUAGAUGAUAUAUACAAGGCGCGAUGAAUGAAUUGAGGCCAUCCUGAUGUUGGGUUGCACAAGUAAUAUAUUUCAUUGGAUUUAUCUUUUUAUUAUGCACUAUUUACAGUAGUUGGUCGGAGAGGAAUGACUAGAGCUAGAAGACAUUUUCACUUUUUUCCCUCUAAAUAUGGGCAACAUGCCUUUAAACCAAUUUUUUCUUCUUAUUAUUACUUGCUCAUUCCUUAUCUGCAAGUUCAGUUGGAAUUUGGAUUUGUUAAUCUGCUUGAGUUGAAUUUACAAAGCGAUUCAUAUCUGGGUUGUUUUAUAUUUUGUUAAAUGGACAUGAUGGCUGUUAGACUGACUGAUAGCAAUAACAACACUUCUUUGAAAAUAAGAGGGGUAGACAAAGAUAGUUCCUCCAUCCUCCCUCUUGUUUCUUCCCCACGUGCAGUUGAGGCUAACGGUGAUUUUUGACGGAAAACGCGAUGGAGUGGCACGGUUCUAAUUUCCCCAAAUUCCAGUAGCAUGUAGCCGAUAUCGUAAAUAGUAGUAACAUUUAUCUAAAAUGGCGUAUUUGUAGUGGCAUGGAUCCAAUUAACCCAUAUAAAAAUGAGAUCUGUUACUUUGUUUUCUAGAUGCUACUGGCCACCCCCAUAUUUAUCUUGCAUGUGGCAAUGAAUAAUGUAUUGUAUUGCAUUUGUCCACAAUUUGAUCAUGCAAAGUUAUAAAAAGUGGUGUGGUGGUCUUGCCGAGGUGGGUUUCAAAGUUUCUAUAUCAUUUUUUUAUUGAUGUGGUUCAAGUGUUAAAGUUGCUUGGAUUUUUCAUUGCUCAGAAUUGUAGAUUUUCAUUAGUGAAAAUUGCAAGUGACAAGUUUGGUUCUAUUGGUCAAUAUAAUAUUUUUUUGUGAUAUUGUGCAAGAUGUUAAGUCAAAUCCGUGACUGUUAUCUUGACUAGAAGCAAAUUUAUGCCACAAAAUAUAGUAUUUAUUGCUGAGAUUGUAGGAUUUAUUUGUUAUAAAAUGUUCUUUUUUAUCUUGUAAUAAAAUGUUACCAGCGUAACAGAAGAAAACUAUCAGAUUAUGUUUUAUAGGCUAAAUGUUAAACUAUUUUCGUUAGUAUGGCAUUUUUUUAAUAAUAUUCUUAAGCCUAAACAAAAACUGGAUUAUAUGUAAGCUAUCUAAUUAUGAAUGGCUUUGGUAAGUAAUGUAGCAUUCCUUCACUAUUUAUAAUACCAUCAUUGAAGAGAUGAUCUUCUUUACGUUUUUUUUCUUUCAUGUGCCCUUUACUACUAAAAAAGAAUUGAAAGUACAACCUGAAUAAUUGGAGGGGAUCUUACUUGACCAGUUGGCAUGUCUCUACUUCACAUUAGUGGGGAUCUCACUUGGCUAAUUGGCCAGUUGUCAUGUAUCUGCUUCACAUUGGAGGGGAUCUCACUUGGCCAAUUGGCAUGUCUCUGCUUCACUUCAUUUCAGCUCCUCAGAAACGAGCAACCAAGUUCUUAUUGCCCAGGGAUGGCCAAGCUCUCCAAAAACAACUGAUAUAAUGAAAUAUUCUUUCGUUCCUCCCACAAAGCUUCAGAGCUGGACUAUCGCAAAAAAAAAAAAAAAACUUCAGAGCUGGAGGGUGAGGUUGCUGCCAUGCAAAGCUGAAAUUUCAUUUUUGAAUAUUCCUACUGUACUAUUCUGUUUUAUAAUCGUCGUGCUUUUGUUUGUAGAGUAUGCUUAAUUAGUCAUAGAACCAGAUUUACAGUAUAAAUUCGUGAAAGCAGCUGUAAGCUUUUUCAUACUAUUGCUUAUUUUCAAAAAGGGUAAGUUUGUGCUUUAGUGCUUUAGCUAAACCACAAACUUGGUAGAAAAUUAAAUCUCAAUUUACAAUUGCAUCUAUGGCGUUUAACUCCA
This is a non-coding RNA of Oryza sativa Japonica Group (Japanese rice), 3962 nucleotides long. The record is from RefSeq and is a predicted model, not a curated record. NCBI's taxonomy places the organism in Eukaryota, Viridiplantae, Streptophyta, Magnoliopsida, Poales, Poaceae.